UACGGGGGGGGCAAGCGUUGUUCGGAAUUACUGGGCGUAAAGGGCUCGUAGGCGGCCAACUAAGUCGGACGUGAAAUCCCUCGGCUUAACCGGGGAACGGCGUCCGAUACUGGAUGGCUUGAGUUUGGGAGAGGGAUGCGGAAUUCCAGGUGUAGCGGUGAAAUGCGUAGAUAUCUGGAGGAACACCGGUGGCGAAGGCGGCAUCCUGGACCAACACUGACGCUGAGUGAGCGAAAGCCAGGGGAGCAAACGGG
This 254-nucleotide ribosomal RNA is filed under the name uncultured bacterium. Its description in RNAcentral is "partial 16S ribosomal RNA". It matches the Rfam family "Bacterial small subunit ribosomal RNA", at positions 524 to 776 of the family's 1533-position model. The record is from RNAcentral.